UGCCUGGGGACAUGCAGGGCCUGGGUUUACCUCCACAUAAGUGUUUCGUAGGGUCUCCUAGGAAACACUUAUCAACACUUUGUUUCCUACCCUGUCACAAUAAGUUCUCCCUGGCAUUUUCAUUCGUUGUCAUGUCAAAUAACACUGUAUUCAAAAUGCCCUCUUACAUUCUAACUAUGGAAUUAGAAUAAUCAUUCUAUUUCCAUGAUUCCAACAGUACUCCCAAGUACCACAGCAUCUUCCUGAUACCACUUAAGGCAAACAUUAGUUGUAUUAUGUGUUCCGUGAAGUGUCAAAUGCAUACUGUCAUUACUAAAGGUGUAGUUUGAAAAUAACUAGCCAGCCAGCCAGCAAGCAAUUUGUUUUGUUUUAUUUAGCCUGUGUUCUGUAGAAGUUGUUUCAGAUCUUUCUCCACACACACACACGUGUUCUUCAUUCCUCUGUGUUUGCACAUGGUUAAUCAAAGAAACCAUUUUCUUCCUCAGUGAACUCCUUGAUUGCAUUUAGAGUGAAUUUGGAGUCGGAUCUUGCAAUUAUCCUCCUCUUUUCAGAAGUCAGAAGUCAGUAUGAACUGGUUAGCAUGAGUGACGACGAUGAGGCAUACGAGAGACAAAUAACUGUCCUGGAGAAAGAAAACAGAAGGCUGAAGAAGGAGAAGGACCAGUAUCAGCACCAGUAUUGGAGCCCAGCGUCCAAAACAGACUGACAUUGGAGGAGGGAUAAUGGUUUCAGAGGCAGCGCUCCGCUACAUUGAUCAUUCACACCACCGUAAGCUUACCAAUGGCCUUCUGACGCUGUUGUUCUCAAACGAGGAGCUGGCAGAGAGCAGCCUCAGUGGAAAGAGGUGUAAUGCUCACAAGAAUGAUAAUGUCAAGAAGGGCCUUGACAUCAGACGCCUUGAGCCCAUUGUUGAAUGUCAUGGAGAAAUGUGGUGUCGGAAAAAAAGAUGUAUUCACAAUUAUCGGCAUAAACUCAAUUAUGAAGACAAGCUGUCAAAAGGACUUAUUUCAAGGAGGAGGAGGAAAUGGAUAUCAUUGAACUACUGUCCAUCAUAUAUAUAUGUAUGUAUGUACAGUGGGGCAAAAAAAGUAUUUAGUCAGCCACCACUUGUGCAAGUUCUCCCACUUAAAAAGAUGAGAGAGGCCUGUAAUAUUCAUUAUAGGUACACUUCA
Molecule: long non-coding RNA, 1172 nt
Organism: Oncorhynchus gorbuscha (pink salmon)
Lineage: Eukaryota; Metazoa; Chordata; Actinopteri; Salmoniformes; Salmonidae
Exons: 4
Source: RefSeq, a predicted model, not a curated record